RNAcentral lists this ribosomal RNA (403 nucleotides) under uncultured bacterium. RNAcentral describes it as "bacterial SSU rRNA". It matches the Rfam family "Bacterial small subunit ribosomal RNA", at positions 355 to 774 of the family's 1533-position model. The record is from RNAcentral.
AAGGGAAUAUUGCAAAAUGGGCGAAAGCCCGAUGCAGCAACGCCGCGUGGGCGAUGAAGGCCUUCGGGUCGUAAAGCCCUUUUUGAGGGGAUGAGGAAGGACAGUACCCUCAGGAUAAGCCUCGGCUAACUACGUGCCAGCAGCCGCGGUAAAACGUAGGAGGCGAGCGUUAUCCGGAUUUACUGGGCGUAAAGCGCGUGCAGGCGGAUUGGAGAGUUGGAUGUGAAAGCUCCCGGCUUAACUGGGAGAGGUCGUUCAAUACUUCCAGUCUUGAGUGCAGUAGAGGGAAGUGGAAUUCCGGGUGUAGUGGUGAAAUGCGUAGGUAUCCGGAGGAACACCAGUGGCGAAAGCGGCUUCCUGGACUGUAACUGACGCUCAGACGCGAAAGCUAGGGUAGCAAACG